This 677-nucleotide ribosomal RNA is filed under the name Orbilia oligospora. Its description in RNAcentral is "SSU rRNA". It matches the Rfam family "Eukaryotic small subunit ribosomal RNA", at positions 862 to 1559 of the family's 1831-position model. The record is from RNAcentral. Lineage: Eukaryota; Fungi; Ascomycota; Orbiliomycetes; Orbiliales; Orbiliaceae.
GUAAUGAUUAAUAGGGAUAGUCGGGGGCAUCAGUAUUCAAUUGUCAGAGGUGAAAUUCUUGGAUUUAUUGAAGACUAACUACUGCGAAAGCAUUUGCCAAGGAUGUUUUCAUUAAUCAGUGAACGAAAGUUAGGGGAUCGAAGACGAUCAGAUACCGUCGUAGUCUUAACCAUAAACUAUGCCGACUAGGGAUCGGGCGGUGUUCAACUUAUGACCCGCUCGGCACCUUACGAGAAAUCAAAGUUUUUGGGUUCUGGGGGGAGUAUGGUCGCAAGGCUGAAACUUAAAGGAAUUGACGGAAGGGCACCACCAGAUGUGGAGCCUGCGGCUUAAUUUGACUCAACACGGGGAAACUCACCAGGUCCAGACACAUUAAGGAUUGACAGAUUGAGAGCUCUUUCUUGAUUAUGUGGGUGGUGGUGCAUGGCCGUUCUUAGUUGGUGGAGUGAUUUGUCUGCUUAAUUGCGAUAACGAACGAGACCUUAACCUGCUAAAUAGCCUGGCUAGCUUUUGCUGGUCACCGGCUUCUUAGAGGGACUAUCGGCUCAAGCCGAUGGAAGUUUGAGGCAAUAACAGGUCUGUGAUGCCCUUAGAUGUUCUGGGGCCGCACGCGCGCUACACUGACAGAGCCAACGAGUAUAACCCUUAGCCGAAGAGGUUUAGGUAAUCUUGUUAAA